GACGAACGCUGGCGGCGUGCUUAACACAUGCAAGUCGAACGGUGAAAGCGGAGCUUGCUCCGCUGGAUCAGUGGCGAACGGGUGAGUAACACGUGGGCAACCUGCCCCUCACUUCGGGAUAACUCCGGGAAACCGGGGCUAAUACCGGAUAUGACCUCCUUGGGCAUCCUUGGAGGUGGAAAGUUUUUAGGUGAGGGAUGGGCCCGCGGCCUAUCAGCUUGUUGGUGAGGUAGUGGCUCACCAAGGCGACGACGGGUAGCCGGCCUGAGAGGGCGACCGGCCACACUGGGACUGAGACACGGCCCAGACUCCUACGGGAGGCAGCAGUGGGGAAUAUUGCGCAAGGGGCGAAAGCCUGACGCAGCAACGCCGCGUGCGGGAUGACGGCCUUCGGGUUGUAAACCGCUUUCAGCAGGGAAGAAGCCGCAAGGUGACGGUACCUGCAGAAGAAGCACCGGCUAACUACGUGCCAGCCGCCGCUGUAA
RNAcentral lists this ribosomal RNA (485 nucleotides) under uncultured bacterium. RNAcentral's name for it is "partial 16S ribosomal RNA". It matches the Rfam family "Bacterial small subunit ribosomal RNA", at positions 28 to 523 of the family's 1533-position model. The record is from RNAcentral.